UACGAAGGGGGCUAGCGUUGUUCGGAAUUACUGGGCGUAAAGCGCGCGCAGGCGGUCUUCCAAGUCAGUGGUGAAAGCCCGGAGCUCAACUCCGGAACUGCCAUUGAAACUGUUAGACUUGAGGAUGAGAGAGGUGAGUGGAAUUCCCAGUGUAGAGGUGAAAUUCGUAGAUAUUGGGAAGAACACCGGUGGCGAAGGCGGCUCACUGGCCCGGUACUGACGCUGAGGAGCGAAAGCGUGGGGAGCGAACAGG
This 253-nucleotide ribosomal RNA is filed under the name uncultured bacterium. RNAcentral describes it as "partial 16S ribosomal RNA". It matches the Rfam family "Bacterial small subunit ribosomal RNA", at positions 524 to 776 of the family's 1533-position model. The record is from RNAcentral.